RNA transcript from Bombus pyrosoma, 2663 nucleotides. It is a transcript of the gene named E3 ubiquitin-protein ligase AMFR-like, with no coding region annotated. Lineage: Eukaryota; Metazoa; Arthropoda; Insecta; Hymenoptera; Apidae. The record is from RefSeq and is a predicted model, not a curated record. The transcript is spliced from 10 exons.
UAAGUCUCCUCAGCGGUCUCGAGCACUGCAGUUGUCGUGACACAUUGUGUCGUAUUGUGUCGCAAUAAUAUCUUCAAGCUCCUUCUAAAGAAACGAGAGUGAAACAAGCGGUUCGCCAGCACGAGAUACGUUCGAACAGAACUAAUUCGUGGACUUCUCUCGUACGUAUACCAUGUAAAACCAUGAUGAGCCGCGUGUGCUGUUAACUGGUGGAUGAUUUCGACCAAGAAAGUCUUACUUUCAGUAGCCUUCCGGUUUCUCUUUUCUCCGCGGUAUUCUUACCUUUAUUUUCCUCACAAAUUCAGUGCAGAUAUGCGUUAAGUGUCGACACGAGUCUUCAUUUUUGGAAGUACCCUCUUUCAUUUCGGUGAUGGAUUAAGGACAACGUGGUUCAAUCAUCAAUCUCAGGAAGCAGUAAAUCGCAAGAACUGCUAAGAUGCCGAUAGAAUUCUUGGACCGGCUUCCAAUGCCAAAUCUCCGGCUGUAUACGGCAAUAAGCUUCGGCGUGUUAUCCUGUUCGAUAUACUAUGCCGUUCAAAUCAUCAAAGACCCGGCAUGGAAGAUCACCCACACUUACGUGGACUCCGAAAAUGACUCGGCCAACAACAUCGACUUCGAUCCGAGGGAUUCCGCAAUGUAUUUGAAGGAGUUGCUCGAGUGCAUGCUCGACGAGCCUAUCUGCAUCUGGACUUUAAUCAACAUGGCGUACUGCGUGCUAAUUCUGCUGGGUAAAACAAUUCAGAAGCUCGUAUUCGCCGAGCUGCGAGUCUCCGAAAGGCAACACCUAAAGGACAAGUUUUGGAACUUCGUGUUCUACAAAUUUAUCUUCGUAUUCGGCGUGCUGAAUGUGCAGUACAUGGACGAGGUGCUACUGUGGUGGGCUUGGUUCACCGCGCUUGGCUUCCUAAGUCUCCUCAGUCAACUAUGCAAGGAUCGAUUCGAAUACUUAUCGUUUUCGCCUACAACACCAGGUUGGAGUCAUGCAAAACUUCUUGGACUUCUCGCGACUAUUCUUGCGUUAUCCUCCUUCAUGUUACUCCUAUGCACAGCUGCAGCAUUCUUCUUCGUUUCAUUCAAUACCUUUGUCUUCACUGCAGCUGAGUGCAUUUUACUAGGUGUCAGAACAAUUCAUGUAAUGGUGCGAUACAUAAUUCAUCUGUAUGAUACUCGAGGGGCUGGAACUUCUUCGCAACGUUCUUGGGACAAAAGGGGUCCUCUAACUUACUAUACAGAUCUAACAGCAGAAUUAAUAGUGCUAGCUGUAGAUUUUCUUCACCAUGUCCACAUGCUACUUUGGAGUAACAUAUUCCUAAGCAUGGCAUCCCUUGUAAUCUGUAUGCAACUUAGGUAUCUUUUCUAUGAGAUACAACGCAAGAUCACAAAGCACAGGAACUAUCUUGCUGUAUUAAAUCAUAUGGAACAAAACUAUCCAAUGGCAAGUCAGGAAGAGUUAGCAGAGAACUCAGACAACUGUGCCAUUUGCUGGGAGAAAAUGGAAACAGCUAGAAAGCUACCUUGUGCUCAUCUUUUCCACAAUUCCUGUUUACAGUCUUGGUUAGAACAGGAUACUUCCUGCCCAACUUGUAGGCUUGCCUUAAACAUGCAACCUAGCCACCUUGUAAACACACAAGAAUUAUCAACUGAACUACAAACGCCAGCUAGACGAAAUGAGAAUCAUUUCUUUCAUUUCGAUGGCUCAAGAUAUGUGUCCUGGUUACCAAGCUUCUCCGUUGAAGUUUCCCACAAUAGACUACGUGGGAAUAUUUCUACUAUUACACAUAACAACUCGCAAAUGGAUACUAUGAUUAGACAGGUGCAGCAACUAUUUCCACAAUUCCCCCGCAAUCUAAUCGUAGAAGACCUCAGAGGGACGAGAUCAAUCGAAUGGACCGUUGCAAAUAUUCUGGAUGGGGUCCUGAUGUCUCCUCAUCAUAUAAUCGAAGAACCGCAAUUGGAAUCCGUCCUUCAAAUCCAUACCAGUACCACAGAAACUAGUGUUUCUUUGAAUACCCCUUCGAUGCCGCUACCUUCAGAUCCAAGAUUUGAUAUUCCUCUUGCUGACAGGCGUAGCAGCAAAUCCAGAUGAUUUAGCGUAUAUAUGAUGCGUGUCUUACAGGGUUUCUAAGCUAUAAUACUUUUGCCAUGAUCGUCGAAUCCGAACUAACAUCGGAGACGUUGUCAGAACCAUAGUUUCGGAAGGAUUUGAGAUUAAAUAUUUUAUCUCCCUUUUAAAGUCUGACACUUUACACUUCCUAACAAAGAACAUAAAGACCUAAGGAACGAACCAUAUGUACGAACCAAUAUUGCACUCUCAUUAACUGGAUAUGUCGAAAUCUAGCAUAAACAGGGACUGUCGCCUCUCACUCGCCACUGGAGUUGCAUCAUAGAACGCCGUGGCGACUGAGAGUCGCCUCUCGAGCGCAAAGGGUUAAAACAAAAUCCAUAAAGAAAAUCGGUGAAGAACCUUCGAGCCUAGGAGGACGGUUUUCCAAAUCAUCGUCCGAACGAGAACAAAUACUGCAGCGUCGCAAAGAACUGCUAAGACUCACUGCUAAGGAGAAAUAUCUCGAGAAGUGCCGAGAAAAGCAUGAAGCUGACGAAAGUGUUUCUAAUGCCACCUCUUAAAACAGGGAAAACAGAGAGAUAUAUGCUGAUAAAAAGUU